Molecule: non-coding RNA, 27 nt
Filed under: Mus musculus (house mouse)
Lineage: Eukaryota; Metazoa; Chordata; Mammalia; Rodentia; Muridae
Source: RNAcentral
UGCCUUGCUUUGCCCAUCUUGCAACCA